Molecule: ribosomal RNA, 741 nt
Filed under: uncultured Weissella sp.
Lineage: Bacteria; Bacillati; Bacillota; Bacilli; Lactobacillales; Lactobacillaceae
Description: bacterial SSU rRNA
Rfam family: Bacterial small subunit ribosomal RNA
Source: RNAcentral
AACCUACCUCUUAGCAGGGGAUAACAUUUGGAAACAAAUGCUAAUACCGUAUAAUAAUUAAAACCGCAUGGUUUUAGUUUAAAAGAUGGUCUUGCUAUCACUAAGAGAUGGUCCCGCGGUGUAUUAGUUAGUUGGUGAGGUAAUGGCUCACCAAGACAAUGAUACAUAGCCGAGUUGAGAGACUGACCGGCCACAAUGGGACUGAGACACGGCCCAUACUCCUACGGGAGGCAGCAGUAGGGAAUCUUCCACAAUGGACGAAAGUCUGAUGGAGCAACGCCGCGUGUGUGAUGAAGGGUUUCGGCUCGUAAAACACUGUUGUAAGAGAAGAAUGACAUUGAGAGUAACUGUUCAAUGUGUGACGGUAUCUUACCAGAAAGGAACGGCUAAAUACGUGCCAGCAGCCGCGGUAAUACGUAUGUUCCAAGCGUUAUCCGGAUUUAUUGGGCGUAAAGCGAGCGCAGACGGUUAUUUAAGUCUGAAGUGAAAGCCCUCGGCUCAACCGAGGAAUUGCUUUGGAAACUGGAUAACUUGAGUGCAGUAGAGGAAAGUGGAACUCCAUGUGUAGCGGUGAAAUGCGUAGAUAUAUGGAAGAACACCAGUGGCGAAGGCGGCUUUCUGGACUGUAACUGACGUUGAGGCUCGAAAGUGUGGGUAGCAAACAGGAUUAGAUCCCCUGGUAGUCCACACUGUAAACGAUGAGUGCUAGUUGUUCGAGGGUUUCCGCCCUUGAGUGACGAA